GACGAAGGAUGCAAGCGUUAUCCGGAUUCAUUGGGUUUAAAGGGAGCGUAGGUGGCCUGAUAAGUCAGUGGUGAAAUCUCUGGGCUCAACCCAGAAAUUGCCAUUGAUACUGUCAGGCUUGAGUAUAGUUGCCGUUGGCGGAAUAUGACAUGUAGUGGUGAAAUACAUAGAGAUGUCAUAGAACACCGAUUGCGAAGGCAGCUAACGAAACUAUAACUGACACUGAGGCUCGAAAGUGCGGGGAUCAAACAGG
RNAcentral lists this ribosomal RNA (253 nucleotides) under uncultured bacterium. RNAcentral describes it as "partial 16S ribosomal RNA". It matches the Rfam family "Bacterial small subunit ribosomal RNA", at positions 524 to 776 of the family's 1533-position model. The record is from RNAcentral.